RNAcentral lists this long non-coding RNA (451 nucleotides) under Homo sapiens (human). Its description in RNAcentral is "non-protein coding lnc-TOP2A-1:1". The record is from RNAcentral. Lineage: Eukaryota; Metazoa; Chordata; Mammalia; Primates; Hominidae.
ACGGUGCUGAAGGCAAAGAAAGAAUCUCCUGCCCCUCUUAAAGCCGAACUCAAGAAGGCAGUGUUGAAAGGUGUCCACAGCCACAAAAAGAAAGAAGAUCCACAGGUCACCCACCUUCCGGCGGCCCAAGACACUGCGACUCCGGAGGCAGCCCAAAUAUCCUCAGAAGAGCGCCCCCAGGAGAAACAAGCUUGACCACUAUGCUAUCACUAAGUUUCCACUGACCACUGAGUCUGCCAUGAAGAAGAUAGAAGACAACAACACACUUGUGUUCAUUGUGAAUGUUAAAGCCAACAAGCACUAGAUCAAACAGGCUGUGAAGAAGCUCUAUGACAUUGAUGUGGCCAAGGUCAACACCCCGAUUCAGCCUGAUGGAGAGAAGAAGGCAUAUGUUGGACUGGCUCCUGAUUACGAUGCUUUGGAUGUUGCCAACAAAAUUGGGAUCGUCUAA